UAAAAUAGUGGAUGCAGAGGGUAUGAUAAAAAGAAGAACGUCAAAAAAAGGAGAAACGAGAAGGAGAAUGAAUACUCGAGGGUAAGGGCAAAGUACCAUGCCACAGGCCCAAAAGGAAGGUAGGGUCAGAAACAGAGGUAAUUACCACACCUAGAGAAAAAAAAAAAAAUUUAUAUUUCUCCGACUUCUAUAAGGUAAAGUGUCUAUGAUCAUGUUAUUUCUCUCUCUCUUCAAAUAAAUAAUUGAUAAGGAUGCAACCAACAAAGCCAC
This 270-nucleotide long non-coding RNA is filed under the name Prunus persica (peach). Its description in RNAcentral is "long non-coding RNA (PPER_LNC003092)". The record is from RNAcentral. Lineage: Eukaryota; Viridiplantae; Streptophyta; Magnoliopsida; Rosales; Rosaceae.